UGGGGAAUAUUGCACAAUGGGCGCAAGCCUGAUGCAGCCAUGCUGCAUGUAUGAAGAAGGCCUUCGGGUUGUAAAGUACUUUCAGCGGGGAGGAAGGCGAUAAGGUUAAUAACCUUGUCGAUUGACGUUACCCGCAGAAGAAGCACCGGCUAACUCCGUGCCAGCAGCCGCGGUAAUACGGAGGGUGCAAGCGUUAAUCGGAAUUACUGGGCGUAAAGCGCACGCAGGCGGUCUGUCAAGUCGGAUGUGAAAUCCCCGGGCUCAACCUGGGAACUGCAUUCGAAACUGGCAGGCUAGAGUCUUGUAGAGGGGGGUAGAAUUCCAGGUGUAGCGGUGAAAUGCGUAGAGAUCUGGAGGAAUACCGGUGGCGAAGGCGGCCCCCUGGACAAAGACUGACGCUCAGGUGCGAAAGCGUGGGGAGCAAACA
This 427-nucleotide ribosomal RNA is filed under the name uncultured bacterium. RNAcentral describes it as "partial 16S ribosomal RNA". It matches the Rfam family "Bacterial small subunit ribosomal RNA", at positions 355 to 774 of the family's 1533-position model. The record is from RNAcentral.